This 1348-nucleotide ribosomal RNA is filed under the name uncultured bacterium. RNAcentral describes it as "partial 16S ribosomal RNA". It matches the Rfam family "Bacterial small subunit ribosomal RNA", at positions 28 to 1382 of the family's 1533-position model. The record is from RNAcentral.
GACGAACGCUGGGCGGCGUGCUUAACACAUGCAAGUCGAACGGAAAGGCCCUGCUUUUGUGGGGUGCUCGAGUGGCGAACGGGUGAGUAACACGUGAGUAACCUGCCCUUGACUUUGGGAUAACUUCAGGAAACUGGGGCUAAUACCGGAUAGGAGCUCCUGCUGCAUGGUGGGGGUUGGAAAGUUUCGGCGGUUGGGGAUGGACUCGCGGCUUAUCAGCUUGUUGGUGGGGUAGUGGCUUACCAAGGCUUUGACGGGUAGCCGGCCUGAGAGGGUGACCGGCCACAUUGGGACUGAGAUACGGCCCAGACUCCUACGGGAGGCAGCAGUGGGGAAUAUUGCACAAUGGGCGGAAGCCUGAUGCAGCAACGCCGCGUGCGGGAUGACGGCCUUCGGGUUGUAAACCGCUUUCGCCUGUGACGAAGCGUGAGUGACGGUAAUGGGUAAAGAAGCACCGGCUAACUACGUGCCAGCAGCCGCGGUGAUACGUAGGGUGCGAGCGUUGUCCGGAUUUAUUGGGCGUAAAGGGCUCGUAGGUGGUUGAUCGCGUCGGAAGUGUAAUCUUGGGGCUUAACCCUGAGCGUGCUUUCGAUACGGGUUGACUUGAGGAAGGUAGGGGAGAAUGGAAUUCCUGGUGGAGCGGUGGAAUGCGCAGAUAUCAGGAGGAACACCAGUGGCGAAGGCGGUUCUCUGGGCCUUUCCUGACGCUGAGGAGCGAAAGCGUGGGGAGCGAACAGGCUUAGAUACCCUGGUAGUCCACGCUGUAAACGGUGGGUACUAGGUGUGGGGUCCAUUCCACGGGUUCCGUGCCGUAGCUAACGCUUUAAGUACCCCGCCUGGGGAGUACGGCCGCAAGGCUAAAACUCAAAGGAAUUGACGGGGCCCCGCACAAGCGGCGGAGCAUGCGGAUUAAUUCGAUGCAACGCGUAGAACCUUACCUGGGUUUGACAUGGAUCGGGAGUGCUCAGAGAUGGGUGUGCCUCUUUUGGGGUCGGUUCACAGGUGGUGCAUGGCUGUCGUCAGCUCGUGUCGUGAGAUGUUGGGUUAAGUCCCGCAACGAGCGCAACCCUUGUUCACUGUUGCCAGCACGUUAUGGUGGGGACUCAGUGGAGACCGCCGGGGUCAACUCGGAGGAAGGUGGGGAUGACGUCAAGUCAUCAUGCCCCUUAUGUCCAGGGCUUCACGCAUGCUACAAUGGCUGGUACAGAGAGUGGCGAGCCUGUGAGGGUGAGCGAAUCUCGGAAAGUCGGUCUCAGUUCGGAUUGGGGUCUGCAACUCGACCUCAUGAAGUCGGAGUCGCUAGUAAUCGCAGAUCAGCAACGCUGCGGUGAAUACGUUCCCGGGGGCU